Long non-coding RNA from Gallus gallus (chicken), 23691 nucleotides. RefSeq lists it as uncharacterized. Lineage: Eukaryota; Metazoa; Chordata; Aves; Galliformes; Phasianidae. The record is from RefSeq and is a predicted model, not a curated record. The transcript has 6 exons.
GGGGCGGGGUCGGGCGGCGGAGCUGCGGCGGCUGCAGCUGCCGGGCCGGCAAGUGCGGGCUCGUCGACGUUCCCCGCCCAGCGCGGCGGCUCCAGGCGCGUCCCUGCGAGCGGCCUGCCCCGAGGCCUGCCCUUGGCUCGCGGCGCCUCUGAGGGCGGCGGGAACCGCCUCGGCUUCUCUGAGGAGGUCGUGUGGCGCGCGCGGCCGAGCGCCCAUCUGAGGGACGGCGCCGAGCGGCGGGAACGGGGCUGCGCGCCGCUGUCACUGCUCGUCUCCACAGCCUGGUGCCAGCUCCGUCCAGGGCCGCAUUGGUGGAAAAAUGUGUAUUUUUCACGAAACAUCAGAUGUAUAAAUGCUGUAUAUGAGAUACAGAGAUGCAUUUUCAUAUGUUUUGACAUUCGGUUAAAUUUAAUGCAUCUUUGUAAUUCUCAGAAGACAGCCGCUAAGAGUGAUGUGAACGCUGAACAUGUUUUCUGUGUUCAGACACUGAAGGGAGAUGACAUUCAGCAAACCGUGUUACAGUGCCAGUGCUCCGCAUGGACAAAACUCCGGAAUGCGCAGAGGUGUCCUGCAGUCGGGCCCGUGAGAAGCAAUUUGGGCACGGUGCCACCUGGCUGAGCAGCAGUGACUCCGCAGCAGACGAGCCAGGACUGGAAGCUGCCGGCUCCUUCUGCAGCACCCAGGUCCCAACUGCACAUCCUGGGAAGCUGGCUGGGUUCUCUAGCUAAAACACUGACCCCUUCCUCCUGCUGCAAAGGCUAUCGCUUCUUGCUUGAUUACAUCCAGAGGCAAAAGAUUAAUAGAAGAUGUCAUUAUAGAAAUGGAACUGUUUUCUAAUAGAAGUGAGGAGAAUAGCAACAGUAGAAAGUGAGGAAAGGGAUGUCAUGUCCCAUUUCUGCACAACUCCUUGCUCUGCAGUCCAGCACAACACACAUAGAAAGAACUAACUGGACUACAGGGUUGUAUCAGUUGACUUGAAAUUGUGAAACUCACCUCUGAAGAGAACAGGAUAACCAUAUAGACUGCAAGAAGGCUUGACUUCCUUCAAAAGACUUCCCUUCAGCUGAGGUUCAUCUGGAUGUUCACCAUCAUCUCCAAAGCAAACAAAUGAUCUCGUCUGAAUGGGAACCUGACUUGGGGAAAAUCUUCUCAAGCGAGGAAGACUAUCCACAGACCUUGGGGCAGUCAAGGUACGAUUUAGAGGUGUUAUUUUCAAUUCAUUUGGCCUGGGAGUCCUUUGCAUUUUUAUGUGAAAAGAUGCAUUCUUCCUGUUGGAUGACUGUGGAGAUUGAUGUGUGGAGCGAGGAGAUUCCUGUGAGAAAGGUGCGAUGGGAGACGGAGCUCCCAUUUGCCUCGAUGAAGCCUUAAACUCCCGAAGUUGCUUCUGAGGAGAAGGCUGAGGAGGAGAAAUAACCCAAGCUUGCUGCUCUCUCAUCUGCAUCAACAUCUCCUGUUGAAGGGACAGACGUUGCAUUUCUUGUUGUAGAAAGUGUAAGGAAGAAUUUAGUUUUUCAAUAGAUUUGGUAUAUUCCAAGAUAUCUCCUUCAUUGAAAUUUUCUUCGGAGGGGCUAGCUAAAUUCCACUGCUUUUCAGCAUCCAUAGGAGUAGCAGGAGACUUUGACCAUUUGUUGUGAGCAUUUUCAGGGUUUUCUUUUAUUGAUUCUGAAGCCUUAUUAGUUUGUUCAUCUGUUUUUUGAGUUUCUCUUUCUUUCAGUCUAUUACUGUCCGUGAAUAUCUUCUCAUCUUCAGCUCCUGCUGCUUCUUCUCGGAGAGGUGAUACUCCAUCGCCUUUCUUUUUCACAAUAUUAAGAAAUGCUGUUCUUCCCAUUUUCUGCCGCUGCUUAGUGAAAGCAGCUUCAACUUUCUUCUUCUGGGCUUCAAUUGCUCGUCUCUUUUCCUCCAGCUUCAUCCUAAGAUGUACCAGCUCUGAAGCCAGUAGCUGCGUAGUGUCUCUUCCUUGGGGAACAGAUGUCUCCUCAGGAAUAUGAGUCCAAGCAACCACAUGAGGAAUAUUCAGCUCAGAACCUUCCGGUGUGGUUUUCUGAGAACUGCUGCCACUGCUUCUACUAUCUGUAUGAUUCAACUUUCUGAAUUUCUGCUCUGCAAAACUAGUCAUUUUAACCCCAGAACUUGAAGAAGCACUGCUGCCAGCCUGUGACUUGGUACUUACUGAGCUAGGACAGGGACUUAAUUGAUCUCUGUGAUUGCUAACUCUUAUGUCAUAAUCCUGAAGAAAUUUAGAUGGUUCUUCCAUGUCAGAGUCCAUGCUUACAGUAUAAUCUCUUAAAGAAGAAUCCUCAUCCAUAGUCUCCGGAAUAUCUUCCGAAGGAACGUGUAUUCCAGUGUCGACUUCUGUGUUGUCAGUCACAGGACUUAAAGCACCUUUUGUGUCUGUGAUCAGAUCAGGGGUAGACUGAUUUGGUUUUAUGUUUGAAUUCAAGAUGCUCAUUUCCUGAUUGUGAAGAAAGAACCCAUUUGUAAUUUGGUCUGUUGGGAUAACUCUGGGAGAUUUUUCGGUGUCAUGAAUUAUUUGCAAAGCCUCUUCAAUUGUUGGUGUCUCAAUCUGAUUGCCAAAAUCAUCCAGAACGGCUCUGUUUUGCAAAGCCCCGUUUGGAAACCGGCAGUGACUGCUCUCGUUGGCAUUUCUUUGAUUUGUGGUAAAAGAACGACGGACCUUUGUGUCUGUAUGAGCUACUGUGUCCUUUUCCUCUUCAAUAUCUUCAUUUUCCUCUUCUCCAUUUACUGGUCUGAAGGACAGAUUUUUUCUAAUAUGUUUGGGCACACGGUUGUUGUUUAACGUAAGGCCUUCAUUGCUUACAGAUCUAGUAAUACCUCUGUUUGGAGAAGAUACUGGAAUACUUUUUUCUUUGUCAAAAGAAAUGUCAAAUGAAACUCCAUGUAACGAUGACCUUACAGAGAAAAAAAGGAAAUAACUGAGCAACUUAUGAUUAAUAACAAAAUAUUCAUAUUUGUUCUACAAGUUAUCUGGAGACAGUAGUAUAAAAUGGACUAUUACAUGUACUGUAUUUCGACCAGCUUCAUUUCCAAAUAGGAUACAUUAAAAAUGCACAACAUACAAUAUAAUAACACUUUCUUUAGAGCCAACCAAUGCUCUUUAGUAGCUUGGAGUAAGUUUGAGGCACUUCAAGAAUAUAAAAAUUGCCAGUCUAGAUCAGAAUCAAGGUGUGAAAAGACAACUCAGACUUGCAGAAUAACCCUUUAAUAUAACUCUUAACCAUUUUAUCUUUACCUUACGACCUUACGUCCUAUACAUUCAGAGUUUGAGUAGUCUAACAGAAAAAGGAGACAUCUCCAGCCUGAUCGUUUUUACUAUAUAGAAAUUAAUACUAUUUUUGAUACUAGGUUUUGAUAAUACUGAACUCAUUAGCAAUGUGACUCAACUCAUUUGGCUAAAUUGUAGUAGGUAAAUGUAAACAUAUUUAAUGCUAAUAUAUUGAAAAAAUGUUAUUUCUUAAGGUUGUUUCCUAUUACUGAGUUCUUAAUCCAUGACACAGUUUUCUCUUUGCCUUCUACUUUUGUAAACUAAUCACCAGAUUUUGAAAAUCCCAAUCACAAUGGAAAAUUUACAAUACACAAUCAUUUUUUAAUCAACUUAUGGUAAAGACUACUUACCUCUUUUCUUUUGGCCAUGUCCCUACAUAGCCAUCUACGUAAGACAUUGAUGUGGACCUUCUGAUGACUCCUAAGCAAAAUUAACAUGGAAUCCAAGGUAACAUUAAGAUGAUUUUUCAUAGCAGUAAGUUUCUGUUGCUUUAACAAAUUAGUUUGUUUCACUACUUAGAACACCGCAACAGCAGAAAUUUGUUUUCAGAACACAACUUGAACAAUUGAGUUCACCUCAUCCUGUAUAUAUAUGCUAUACUCCUUAGACAAAGAACUUAUUAUUGAGAAAAAAACAGAAUUACAGAAGCAUUUGAGUCAGAAGGGACAUGAAAAGGUCACCUAGUCCAACUCUCCUGCAACAAACAGGGACAUCUACAGCUCCAUCAGGUCACAGGAGUCUGGUCUAGUCUGACCUUGAAUGUCUCCAGGAGCGUGGCAUCCACCACACCUUUUCUGGGCAUCUGCAUCAUCACAAGACCAUAGAAGGCUGGGCAGGCAGGGCUUGUCCUUGGUGAAACUAGCAGUACUACAAGUACUGCUAAAAUAUACUAAAAAUAAUUGUUGUAAGCCAUAUUUAACGUGGCAAAAAAUGAACUCAAAUUAAAAAAAAAAUGCAAGUGGUACAAGCACAAACUUCCUCAUUUGUAUACUGAACAAAUUACAGAACUCAUUCACUAGCCUUUCAUCUAGGACUCUCCCAGCAACACCUGGCAUGAAUAAGCUUUGAAGAAAUUUAAGUAAGGUAGCAAUUUACUCAGAAUGACACCUUGUCUCAUCCCCCCUUAAAUCCUUUUGUAAAAUGUUACCUGGGACAGACGAAUAAGGCUGCUGGGGCGUAUGCAGUUGGUGAGAUGGUGCAUAACUUGGACUUUCCAAUCUAUAAAACAAGAUACAUUAACUUAGAAGUAACACAUCAAAAGCCACAUUAUAGAAGUACAGCAAGACUUCAUGUCCUGUGCCAACUCAAGAUUUAUUUUUUUCAGACAAGGGAAAAAGGUGUAAUUCUCCUCUUGAAGCACUAAUUAGAGGCAGCAUGCUGUAUUACUACCUUUAACUGGACUCAGUGCAGAUAGACAAAAUCAAAAAGCUAUUUCUCUUAUUGAAAUGGCCACAGAGCAGUGCUGGUUUUGUUAGUGUACACAUCUCCUAACAAUAAUUCAAGUAAAUGUCAUUGUUAGGAAGUUCUCAUUUUUAGGCUUGAUUUUAGCAACAAAAUAAAUUGGGUGUUGCAGCUAAUACCACAGUCUUCACACAACUUUCUGUUGCUUCAUCUGACAUUCUUGUGUUUCAACUGCAGUAUGUGUGAGGAGCAGAUAAAGGCGAUUCUGUGACAGAUAUGCUAAGUACAAUAAUAACACUGAUCACUACAAGAGUAGUUCAAAGGUUCUCUCCAUUUCUAGUUAGAACAGAUUUCUUUUUUUUGUUCACCAAGAAGGUUCGUAAUAGACUAGCUGUUUUAAUCCAGAAUAGGCUUUCAUAAUGCAGUGAUUUGAACCAGGCUCUUCUUCAGUACCAAACAGACAUGCAUGAAUACAUAUGCUUUUGUAUGUAAAAUGUGUCAAGAAGGCAGACUUCAAAACAUGCUGGAUUAAAGCCUUUCAUGCUCUGAAUUUUGUUCACUGAUUAACAGCACACUCCCAAACUCUUUUUUCAGUAAUUAACUUUCAAGAUCUUUGCCCAGUACUUUUGUAGUUUACAUACAGUAUUGCUUUAGAAAUGUUUCCAAAGAAUAUUUGUGGGGAGGAUAUUCAUGUCAAUUUAAAGAAAAUAUUGUUAGUUUAUAGUACACAAAACCAUCUUCUCUCAGUAUACAUUAAAACUACUCAGAAGAGUUUCUCAUUAAUGCAAGGUUUUGGGUGUUAAUACUGCACAAAAGCUAAACAUAUGUUUUAAAUGGCAUUUGAGAUUUCCGUGAAAGUUUUUUAAUCAAUAUCCUUAAGUUAUCUUAAUACACGUAAGCAGUUAAUCCAGCAGCAUCUGAAAAUUUGUUUUACCACAAGAAAAUCUACAUGCCUCAUUUUCUCCCAGGAAAAGACUGAUUUUGGCACCAAGACCGUGGUUCCAUGGCAACUCAGACAUUGUAACUGCUUGCUGCCUCAGUCCCACUCCUCUGUGCUGCUCUGGUUCUCCACUGGAGUCUGCUCUGAGUCAUUGCUGUAAUUCAGCCAGCAGAGAAACAUUGACUUUCUCUGACUGGGUUACUUUUUUUCCCCUGUCAUUGUGUACUGAAGUGACUACAUCAUACAGAAAAACAGACAGCAGUGUCCAGUUGGAACUAGAAUGAAAGCCAGGACCAAGGCAUCCUGCAGUCAGAGCCAUCUUGACUGAUGGCAAACAGCAGCCUACACAUUAUAUUUCUAGCAUCUCAAGUAACUCCUCAGGCCUCUUCUUCAUCUCUCAAUGCUGUGAAGUACCACCAAGUUCUAUAAAGUACAUCAGUCUAUGAAUAAAGAUAUAGUUCUUUCUACUACUUACAGGUGCUCUCGUAAUACUCCAGCACCGAACCACCUCCAUCACUUUUAGAGAAACUAAACAAGUGUUGCAAUUAGAUUGCAGAAUAUGCUAUCCACUACCAACCAUACAGACUUCACAGUGAUUUUAACUGAACAUGUCUGGGAAAAAUAAGCAGUGUUAUGAAACAGUGGUGGCAACUUAGACUUGAUAGUUAAAUUUGGAAUGGUAGCAGUUUGUUUAUGAAUUGAAUUCAGACACUUAAAGCUUUCAAUAAAUCCUCUUCAAUUUCUAAUUCAAAAUAUCAGCACAGACAAAAUGUACACAUUGAGACAAAAUGCACUUGUUUUUUUUUAGAUGAAAAAGAUGCUUUGUUACUGAUAGAAUUUGUCAGAGCAGGGAUAUGUUCUGUAGAGAGAAAGGAUAAAAUAAAGAGCUAAGUAGUUCACUGGACUGCUUGCAGUAGCUGUGCAUGGUGUGAACUGGCCUUGGGAACCUCUGUUCCCAAAAGUAUACAGAAAGCUACUGUUUGUUUCUCUCCUGGCAUAGAAGCUUCAUUUACACUAAAAUAACUUCAUUGUCUAUACAGGAAACACACAAGAUACACACAGUAGAACAACUCAGAAUCGUGCCAUUUUAUGAUUGUAAGAAAUUGUAUUCCCUAAUUCAAAGGCAGUAUAGAUACCUAAAUAAAAAGCAACCACCAACAAGAGCUGGCAAGGAAGAAUUCACUGAAUAUUCCAUUAAAAUGUUUAUUUUGUCCUUUGUGUUGGUUUAGAAGCUAUCAAACCUUUGCCCUCUAUUUAUAAAUAUAAUGCAACACUACCUCCCACAUUCACUAGGUUCAGAUCAGAUCAUUUAAAGGCUUCCUCUACCCUGUCAAGAGAAUGAUUUAAAGACUGUGAAAGGGUACUACUGACUCUCUGGCUUUACCUGGCUACGAAGUCAGAACCACAUGGGCCAUCCACAUAAUUUCUUCUGUUAGCAUUCAAACUGUGAGCAGAAGCUGCAUCUUUUACAGGUUCAGCUGCCAAGAAGAACAAAGGUCAAGUUACCGUAGUUUAGUUAAAUGAAAGUUUAAAUUACCAUGACCUCUAUGUUUACUAUCUCAAGAUCUACUUGAGAACUGCGUUUUUACAUCUAUAAAUUUACCAACAAAGGACUGUGCCUUGCAUCCAGGUGCAAAAUGCAAGUCUGAAGUUAACUACUUAUCUGCUUUCCCCAGAUGUAUGUUUCUUUCUAUUAGUAACUCUUCCUCAGCCAUACAAUAUUUCAGGCUACAUUCUGAUCUUGGCUCCUUUUUCUGAAUUAUCAUCUCUGCAAGGGCAUAAUGGAUUCUAGCCAUAUUUAGGUCAGGAAAAUUUGCAGAAGAUUAUACCGCUAUAAUUUAAAUGAGGCUUUUGCAGUAAACAACAAAUCUAAUUAUGAUUUAUGAGAUGAAAUGAAGAUUAGCAUGAGGAAAGAGUACUUCGCUUCUUUAAGGGGGUGGUACAACACCAAAUCCUGUUAACUAAGAUAUUCGCGCAUUUGGGGACGCUACAGUAAUCUGAACUCAUACAUAUUAAAAACAUGCAUAUCAAAACCAAUCCCUUAUAUAAUUACCUUGGGGAUGCCCAACAACACGAGGUUGUACAAAUGAUGGUUUCACCACUUCAAACCACCAGAACAGUUCUGCCAUGAACACCAUGUAGUUACUCUACAGGAAAAAGAAUGCAAGAAAUGUAUGUUAAAACACAACCCUUAACUGCAAGCAAAGAGAAUAAACAGUGUUUAGAAUAUCUCUGUUCCAUCCAGUUUACAUUCACAUAGCUAUCACUUUCUUAAAAAACACAGUGAGUAAUGGUGACCUGUAGUACCAUCUAUCUAACAACCCUAACUCGACCAGAUCAGAACCGUUUGGGUAUCUAUGACUGUAAGGUCUGUAAGCUUUCUGCUGCCAAUCCCCCAGCUAGCAGCUAUGUUCUAAAGCAGAAAGAAACCAAGUUUUGGACUGCAAGUGAACACCUGACAAACACACUAAAUGGAAUGUCAAUUUAUUACAGAAAAAAAUUACACACGUUAGGCAUAAGAAUAUCUUUAUCAAAUAAGCUAAGAUUUAAAAAAGAAAUGUUUAAUAAUAAAUGAAAUGAUCUCAACUCUGUAUCACUGAGUUACAAAACGUAAUUUAAAAUAUCUGACAACUUAGAUUCAGAUUUAUUUUUCCUGGACAUUUCUAAUGCAGAUAAGCCUCCACUUCAGAGGAGGGAUGCUCUCAGAAUGAAAGCUGCUCAUGUAGUUUAGUAGACAGUGAAGGGAUCAGCCAGAUGUUGCCACAGUUAUUAAAGACAGGCUAUGAAUAGACCAGGAAAAACACUGCAUCGGAUUGUUCAGCACAAUAGAAAUGGAAUGAGAAAAGAUGCAUAGCAAAACCUUUUAUGUGCAAGCUAAAUGCUAACUGUAGCAUUCUGAUACAACCAGAAAAGAAUAUACAAACGGAAAAAUGAUAUCUACUUUUCAGACAAAACGUCUGCAGUGUUACAGUUUCUAUGCCAUCCAUUAAUACCUUCAGCCUUCCUUCCCCUCAAACUUGUCCAGUUUUAACUUGAAAUAACUCUUACUCUGAAAAUAAUUAUAAAAUGUUCUAAUCAUAGCUUUGUUCCCAUCUCAAGUAGUAUUCUAUUCCAAUAGGUUAAUUCUUAUUUUUAUGUAGAGAUGCUGCACUGAAUAGCACAGCUGUUCUAUGAAGGACUCAGUUAUUUCUUCUGAAAGUAUUUUCUAUGCAGUCCUGAGUUGCUGAAAUAAAGCUUGUUUUCCCAUAACCCAAAGUGGUACUUCCCAAAGCAAAGUGAAAGUGUUGGCUGCACAGCUCAAUUACAACUCAGGCUACAUUCAUGUUUUGUGAUGAAGUAUCAUGAUGGAAAACACAUUUCCCCUCAUGUUAUUUGUAGUCAGAAAACUACAUUAAUCAUUAUCCAAGGGGAAGACAGAUGAUCAAUAGCUUAAUUUGGUUGGGUUUUUUUUUUUUUUUGAGAAACUAAUUGUGGGCCUGUAAUGACCCUGCUUGCCAGUGCUGGAAGGAACGCAGGUAUUAUUUCUACAGAUUUUGCCUUGAUCAUGCCAACUUAAGUUUUAUUAGCUUCUUAUAUCAUUACUACAUGUGCAUUCACACAGAACUUUCAGAAACAUAAUAGUAGUAUUUCUAUUUCUAACUAUUUUAGUAGUUAAAACAACCGUCCGCAACUAAGCUCUGAACACAGGCUGACAACACUGUUCAGCAGACAGUAGACUCGCAGCUUCACAUACGCUACAACCACCUGAUGUCACUUUUUCAGUUUUAUAUUUCCACCCUGUUUGCAGACUGGGCAUUAGCUGCAUGCAGUAAGAUAUAUUAGUAGCUGCGUUUUUGCUACUGUAUCUUCUGCUAUUGGAAGAUCUUUUGAAAAGAUGCCCUAUUUUUAAUGUAAGGUCUAAAGCCAAUACUUGCUUCUGCAAAGGAAGACAAAUCAGCUUGUUUUGUGAAAAUGUACAUUAAAAAGAAAUUUCCUCUUGCAUAUCUCAAUUCUCAACAUACACCAUGGAAAUUAUGGAAAACAGAAAUAGUACAUCUUGCCACUCAAAUUAAGCUACAUCCCUUGUAAUACUCAUAGGUUUUGGAUAUGCGCAUUUGGAGAACAACUACAAGUUCAUAUACACAAAGCACACAGAUUGCUUAUAAUCUGAUUAGAACCCAAUAAAUUCGAUUGGAAAAGCAGCCAUAGAUACAUUAGGAAUUUUCUCAAAAUGUACAUAAAAAGACACUAUAAAACUCAAAUCACAAUGCACGUCAAGAACUCUGCUUUGUAGGCCAGAAGUACGAGAAGUCUGCUACCUCAAAUUCCAAUCUGUAGUUGGCAUGUUGUAAAGUGUCAAUACAAAUGCAUCAGGACCAAAGAGAACUGGAUUGUUUUAAACUCUGUGGAAAAGGCCCUUCUGCAUGAAGCCCAUGUUCUACAUGUUUGCCAAGUGUCCCGCUACAGGUUAACAAAUGCCACAACAAUUCAAGUUGAAGUUUCCAGUAUGCCUUAUUUCCAGAUCAGAACAAAGAAGCAGGACAACCAGCCAACUAACACCCACUACUUCCCUUCAAAUAACGACUGAGGAGGGUUUAGUCCCUCCUGGGAGGGAAAUCCCUUGAACCAUUCACUGGUUGAACCUUCCUUUUCACUCCUCAUCACCACUCCUUUUAAACCAGCCCGAUGGGAAGGUAGUCCCUGUGCUACCCUCUCCAUCCAUCCCCAAGUGCCUCACCAAGCACAGCCAGCUGCUCUUCUGGGUCCUUACAGAGCCCAGAUGCACACUUACAUAGGCUUACACAGGACAGCAGCCUGAUCUCCACUGCUGCCUUGAGAGGAGGGAAAGCUGCACAGCACUACUGGAUGAAGCCCAGUCCUUAAUUUCUAGGAUUAACCUAUGCAAUAUAUACAACCAACAUUCUUUUCAUAUCACAGAGGAUGCAGUGCUCAUGGUAUCUUCUACUCCUGUUGUUAGCAAAUUCAGCAACUACUUCACAUAGGUGUCUUGUAUUGUGAUGCAUCUCACACUGACUCCAUCAAAGAGCACGUGCUAUGCUCUUUGUGCUUGACCACAUAGCACCAAGUCAGGACACCUAGUGCAGUUCCCUAAGGCAAACACUGUUGUACCAAGAACUCAAUUUUUUUUCUUGAAGCUUUUUCCAGCAACAUAUCAGUGGUUUGAUUCUUUUGUGUUAUUUCUGGCACCAUUAAGAGUGUAACAGACUUUUACACAAGAAGUGUCAUAGUGCCACCUACUGAACACUAUGAGUCACCCUGAAAAUAAAGAGAAAUUUUUGUUGAUUGACACCUGAAAGCACAAUGCUAAAAAUCCUAAAACUCCAAAGUAUAUAAAUUUUGUAGACCAGUUUAAUUCAAUGUGUACUAUUUAAAACACCUAUUUGGGUGACUAAUUUUUUCCAAGUUAGAAUAAAAUUCUUUGGGGAAUAUAUAGAUUUCUUUAAACCCCCUCUAAACAGAUGCACUGGAAAGCUUAUAAAGAGCUCCUUGAACUGAGCAUUUAUUUUGAAAGUAAAUUAUACUUGACACUGGAAAAACAGUUUAUAGCACUAGCCAAAGUUUCCAUGUCAAGGUUUAAAAGAAAAACUUGGCAGUCCAACUCCGUAGAAUUUACAUCUAAAUAAGUAUGCACACCACAGCAACUUGUAAAAACAUGGUCACAAAAGGCCCUUCUCAGUUCUAGAAAUACUCUAAAUCUUUGAAGGAACUCUAAAUUCCCUCUGAAAACACUGUUCAGAAACAGCAAAAUUAUUGAGCCUGUAGCAUAUUAGAAGUGUUAAAAAUGAUGCAUUGGGAUAUUGACAAAACAUUUAAACUAAGCUUCUUACUUUAUACUGGUUUGUGAUCUAAUUCAAACCAGUAUCUUCCAGUGUACCUGUAGGACCACAUGGGAAACCAGAGACAAGAGAGGCUGCAAUACAACAGACAUGUUACAAGUAUGUAGGUAAAUUACUUCAUAUGCAAUUUAAAAACACCAAAAGCUGACUGAAAGCAGUCACUAGACAGCUUUGCAUACACAAAAACAGCAAUGGCAAAGCAGUCUAGACUUAGAGGGGCUGGUCCUGCUGCCCUUACUCAUCCUGGCAGCUUAUUACUUAUUUGAAAAGGAUUGGGUUCAACCCUACAGGAGACAACAAAGCAGUCUGUAUUCAGACUCUGGCCUCUGUGACUCAGCUUGUGAGUGUGCUGCAAAAAUCAUAAAAAGCAGUGAAAUGACCCAGAUACUCAGAAACCAAUUACAGACCAUCUGCAAUGGAUAUGCUGACUCCAUUAAAAAUAUUUGAUUCCCUAAAGGCAGGCCAACAGGAAUCUUAAGCAAAUAAGGAGCAUUUAUACAGAAAAAACUACCUUAGAAAAACACAGUGAUAAAGAACUGAAAUUACAAUCAGACAAGAAAUCAAUCAAUUACUCUGACUUUCCACACUGUUUAAAAAUGAUAGGAUAACCAAAUGAUUUUAACCUUCUGAAAACGUUAGAAUCUUAGAACGACAAAAAAUGCUUAGUUGCUUGUUUAAAAAAAAAAAGGUAUUUGGACCUGUGUCCCUGCUUGUAUUUUCCACUCAAAUUAACUCGAGAGCAAAACCUGAAAAGCAACAAAGAACAUACAGAACAGAGCACAUUUACCAAAGUAAAAAAAUCUUUAAGGUUCAAAACCCGUGAAAUUACUGUAGACACAAAUGAAUAAUGAGAAUGAGCAAUAAUUGCAUGAACUCAAAAUUUUGAGCUUUUGUGUGUUAUAAAUUAAAAGUAAUGCAGACUGCUACUUCACAUUUUAACCAACAGUAAGAAAGAAGGAGUGAAAUCAUGUUGCACAAAUCAAAGUUAGCAUAUACGUAUUCUUUUGAAAAUAGCUUAAAAUUACUACAACAACAUCGUUGCCAAAAUAAAGCAGUUUUACAUCCUGCUGAAAUUCAGUGCUUGUUGUACCACUCAGCCAUACAGCAGCACAUCAAAAGGCUUGAUUAUACUACUAGAAAAAACAGCCCUGUGGACACUGCUUACAUUUUCUAAGUAUUUAAUUUCCAAUUUUUUACCUUUACUGAGGAGGCUGCAUAGAGCAUAUCUUCAAGACUGAAAUGGCAACACUGGUUAAGGUAUUCCUGACAAAACUCUUGAAUCAACUGUAGGUUAUACAGGCUGUCAGCCAAAGACAUUGUCUCUUUCAAACAAAUAUCUACAAAAGAGGAAAAGAAGUGAAGGUUAGAUAUAGUUCCUGAUCUGCAGUGAGUGCUUCUGUUCCUGCUUGGUUUCUGGAGCAUUUCUGGAUAAAUCCAAACUUGAUUUUUUCUUUCCUGCAUAAGGAGAUUUAUUUUUCUAUUUCAGAACUUUAAGAAAUGACAGUACUAUAUUAUAUCUUAAUACAACUUUCUAUCUUUAGAUAUUUUUCUAAAUUUUUUUUUUUUAACUGUUGACAAGUUUAUUUUUUCUUGCUUUGAUUUCUAUGAAACUUAUUCUUAAAAUACUGCUAUUUUCAUGUAAUAAAACCCCAAUAUUUAAUCACUAAAACACUUUUUAAUAGAUUUUCUAUACAGGAAUGCAUGCUUUUUCACAAACCUCUCUUUGCAUAUAGAGUACAUUUUAAUGCCAUUAACUCUGGAUUUUCCCACAAAGGCAGCAUCAGUUUAGUCUUAUAUAUUUGCUAUUGUGGAUUUUGAUGCUUGAUGCAAAUCUUUAUGAAGAUCAGAAGCCCCUGAUUCAUGAAUUACCACCCUUAUGUUUCAAGGUGCUACGUCCCAACAAAGCACUGAUAGCAGUGCAUAGAAUGGUGCAGUUACACAGAACACAGCAGCUCAUGCCCAGCUGACAGCCUGGUUCUCUUUUUAUGAUGGUUACUUGGAAGAUGAAAGAGCCAUUGUAAAAAGCAAAUCCAAAGAAAAUAAUAUAAAGUAACUACACUUCCAGAGUAUUUGUUCUUCGUUCCCCCCGCCCAAAAGCAAGAGUGGAAAACAGAGCUUGAGGUAACAGUUUGAGUGUGUAGGCUUCAAUUUGCCUAUGGAUAAAGAAUCGACUCGGAUGCUAGCAGGAUAAGGGACUCAAAAAUAUUCCAUCACCCCCAAUCAAUCCCCUGUAUAAUAAUGAUGUAAAAAAUGAUGACCCAAAUGAGAUUAAGUUUAGUAAUGCAAAGUUUCAAACUGAUGCAAUUAACCUAAUAGAAUUCUAACGUCAUUUAGUACCUAAAAUUGAUACAGAGAAGGAAGGUAUCAUUGUGUAUUAACUGAUGUAAAGGUUUGUGAGCUUUCAGCAUCACACAACUAUGAAGCAAGCAAAUGAUGCUAGAAUGCAGCAGCAAACGUGUUUCUAGUAGUGACAGGGAAGCCUUGGUACGAGGCAGUAAAGAGAUGUCAGUCUGUAUUUCUGUGUGCAAUUAUGACCAUCCACAUUCAAGAAACAUGAACCAAAAGUAGACUAGUUGCAGAAAAAAUAUUGAAGAUAAUAACAAGAAUGGAAAUCCACUUCAUAAGGUGAGAGUGAAAAGGCUGGAUUUGGUAGCCUGAGCAAAACAGCAGAAAGAAAACAUAUCAGAGCAGAAGACAUCAGAUUAGAGGAAGCUAUUCAAGUUGCGGGCACUGCUGGAGAACAACAAAUGCACGUAGACAGGCUGCAAGCAUAUUUCAGCAGGAAACAGGACUAAGACUUAAAAUUAUGAAAGAAGUGGAGCUCUGCAACAGUCUGAACAGAAGUACAGAUUUUAAAAAGCUAGACAGUUUUAAGAUAGAACAUGAUAAGCCAUGAAAGGAAUUGGAUAAUUUUAAGCAAUAGCCAAUCUUUCAUCUCACUGACACAGUCUUGUAUUCCUAGAAGGAAACCUAGAUUUGACAGUUAAAUUAAGCCUUAAUGAGAAGGAAGCAUUUAUUUUAGAGCUGUGUUGUCGGGAUUCAUACUUUUUCUCCCUGUUAUUAGUGCAUUUUUAAGCACUUCUGCACAUGCAUCUUUGUUAUCUGCCUUCCUCAGUUCCAGUAGAGGAUAAAAUGUUAGUGAAGUUCAACAUGUAUCAAAUGUAGUAUUAUUUAAUGGCAGAAAAGACUGGAACAGUCUCUUACAGUGUUUCUACUUGCCUACACUAUCUUUGAAUUUAUUUCUGAGACAGUGGCACACAUUUUUAUAUCUUUAGGGGAAGACAGCUAAUGAACAUUGAAGUUCAAAGAUGACAAAUGUCUUGUUGUAUUUCAGUGUGCUGAAAGACAGAUGCUGAAGGAAUCUGUUGUUAAGUAUAUAUGCCAUCCUGAAAUAGUAUACAACAUCCUUUGGAAAGUCUACAUUACAGUCAUGCUAAAAACAGUAAGAAGGAACGAGAUGUUACCCACUUUAAAACACAACUCAAAUACUAAUUUUUCUCAAAUCGUAUACAAGUGUAUAUACCUGGCUGCAACAUUUUAUAUACACUGAAAGUGGAAUUUUUGAAAAUUCACGAGCUAAAGAAGAAGGAUGACUGUAUGCAUCUUAAUGUCUUUCAUCUUCAAAGCCUACUGGGCUGCAAUCUUCCUAUAAAGUGGUUGUGAAUAAGAAUUCCAUAUUCCAGUACCUUUAUAUCCUUGUUCAUAUUCCUGGAUUUCUUAGGAUGAGUGUAUACACAAGUGUUCCCACGACAUCAAAAGGUAUCACGGACAGAACACAGGCAGAAAAUGAUGGGUGUUAGCUGCCAAGGCAUUUUACAGCUGCAAGACACUCUCAAUUGCCAAGCGGAAGAUAUGACUUGAACCAGGCCACAGUGCAAAGAUAAAGUUGCUCAUCAUCACCAAAAUUGCUAUGAUAGGACAGCAUGACACUAAUAUGUUCUACGGCGUAUGCUCUUGUUUAUAAUGGUUUAACAAUCAGAGAAAAGCCCUUGAGCAUAAAACAAUGAUCUGCCAUACAGAGCAGCUAUACAGUUUGUCUACUUUUCUGGGCAAGACAGAACUGACCCUUCCGCACUUUCUAUCUGUAACUGCUCAGACACACAAGAAAGCAGUUAAGCAGCUUCAAGAAUCAGAGUUUUCCAGGUAGUUGCAAAUUUUGUGGCAUGACAACAGAAGCAUUGCCACAGUCAUAUCUGCAAUAACAUCCUGUCACACACUUGUAUCAGUGUGACAGCAUAAGAGUAAAUACAGUGUGGAAGGACACCUUGGUUCUUGUUAAGUUCAGAAGUAAAUAGGUAAAAAGUUAAUACCAAAUCCAUCACAGUCACACACAGGCUAUGCCUCUGACACAUCUUAUUCAGCACCUUCCUUUACAUAUAUAUAUUUAUUAUAUAUACAUACACACAUACAUUUCAACUGAGACAUGUUAGACAUACCCUCGAGUUUAACGAUAUCUGGACAGUAGAAGUGGAUGAGGGCUGCUAAAGCACAACCAUCUGUACCAUCUUUCAGCAAAUUUUCCACCAAUGGAAUGCAAGGCAGCUGCUUGAGCAAUGUUUGUUCCUUCCUGUAACGGGCCUACAAUAUAGAAUGAACGGAUUAAGAGACACAAAGGCGCUGAAACAUAUGAAUAAACAGAUUUGUACUGCAGGUUUUACACUCAGUGAAAAAGCAGCAUUCAAUAAAUAACUCAAUAUUCUCAGAUUUCCUGUAACUAUUCUCUUUAUGCUUGGUUUUGAUUGCCAGAAAUAAUAGUUAAGAGGAAAGGAGCCUAUAUGACAAUAUCUGCUUCUAAACUACCACAUUUUGAUGAUCUCUGUGCAGCUGAAUUAAAUAUCAUACAACUUAUUUAACUUACAGCACUCAUUUCUAUUCAACCAGAAAGGGUCUGCAUGUAAACAAAAGAUAGGCUCCAAUCUGCUGUGAAGACCAAAGCUUCAUUUUACCAGCAAUGCCAAUGCCAGUGAAGUUAACGCACAAGAAGCUUUCCCAAAAUCUCCAUAACAUAACUGACAUAACAGCAAGUUUAGAAACAAGGACAUCUGCAUCAGCUACAUUUCCUUACUAGCAUAUUUCACUUAAAGCAGCUCAAAACAAAGCAGCAGCAUUAACUGUCAAGUGUUAAGGCCAGGCUGCAGCCCAGUUACAAAAAGGAAAUGUUCUGAAAAACAACUUUGUUUAGAAUGCUAAAAAACAUUUACCUGCAAUUAAUACAUUUUUAUGGUUUUCUUUUUUGGGCAGGAUGAGGGGGAAGGGGAGAUAGCUAGCUUAACAUGUUAUUUAUGACUUGAAUUUCUUUUCAUUAUUUCUUGAGAAGGAAGGAUUUCAUUUAAAAUUUACUACACUUCAUUUUUAAAGCAGUAUCAAAUGAUUACUUUCCCAUUCGUGCCACAGAACUAAUUGUAAUGCCAAGAGUGCUUUGAAGUAAAUUUAAGUAAUGAAAAAGUCAAUUUCAUUCAAAUACACACAUGAAGCUGGAAACCAGUCCUGCAGGAAUUUGGUGAAGCUGUUGAGGAUGUCAUUCCAGUGAAGAGAAGGCUCUGAGAGACCUCAACGAAGACAUUCAGUAUUUAAAGGGAGCUUAUAAAUAAAAUGGAGACCAACGUUUUACAUGGGCUGAUAGUUAGAAGACAAGGGGAAUGGCUUUCAACUAAAAGAGGAUCAAACCACAGCAGUUGGAUACUUGGAAGAAAUUCUUCAGUGGCAAGGAGCUGGAACAAACUGCCUAGAGACAUUGUGGAUGCCCCAUGCCUGGAAGCAUUCAAGGCCAGGUUAGGCAUUGGGCAGCCUGAUCUGGUGGGUGGCAACCUUGCCCAUGGCAGGCUGCUGGAAUUAGAUCACAUUUAAGGUCCCUUUAAACCCAAGCCAUUCUAGGAGUCUAACAAAGCUGAAGCUGCAAGUUCCUGCAAUUGAGUGGGCAGGGCUGGAGCCUUUAUGGGUGGGGUGGGAACUGUUUAAGCCAGCUUUGUUGGUUAAAACAAAAAAAGAAAAGCCUGUACAAGCACAGACUAACCCCAAAGGCUGUACUUACUGCCACUACAUUUCUGCUAAGGAUGACAGGGGAUUAUCUGUAGUGCACGUUAGUGUCUUCUAACAGGCCCAAGAAGCACAAAUCUAGUCUAGUAAUAGUAGACGUCUGUUCUAGGGAAAUUAAGGGCUUGCAUUAAGCCGAGAAAACUUGUAAUUUAACAAAUUAAUAUUAAUAAUUGGUUAAUUAAUAAAUAGUAGCCAAUAAAUAGUGGAGAAUUUAUCUUCAUUUCAUAUUUGAAACACUGGUAUUUGCAUCAAGUAUUUUGCAUGCCAUACUAAAUAUUCACUAACAUGGAAUAAAUUACUAACAGUUUUUCCUCAUGUUAAACAUAAGAAAACAGGCCAAUUUGCUUACACUGCAAGUUCCUUUUUCCAAUCUCAGGCAAUACUAUAAAAAAAGCUAUGACAAAAAUCCUUUACAUUUGAAAUUAGGUCCCUCCACUUCCCCCCCUUGGCCCAAAUGACUAAAACUAAGUCAGUUAAAUUUUAUGGUUUAAUUAUUGUAUAACAUUAGAAGAUACAGGAUAUAUAGAACUCUAACAUUAUGGUCUGAAUAGUUCUGUAAUGUUUUAUAUAUUCUUUUAAGUAUCAUCUUUCUAAUGGAGUACUGAAAAACAUUUUAAAUUAAUAAUGCAAUGGUCUUGCAUAGUAAAUUCUGUGAAAGUCUGCUGUCACUCCAAGGAUGCCUCACAGUAGCCCUAUGAGCAGUGCCUGGAAACUGUGUCAAAUCAUUAAAGUGAACCUAGAAAGAGGACUUAAUUCACUAUAGAGUACGCCAAGCACAUCAUUUCAGGAAAGUAAACAAAUAUAACCUGACAUGCUAGGUUCAUUAAGGUCUAACAGGCACAGUGUUUCAAUUUAGCAGAAAAGAUAAAAGAAAUUAUAUUGAAAAAACAAAAGACACUGGUAAUUGCACUCCAUUUCUAAUUAACUUCCAUUUGAAAAAACCCUUCUAUUCCACUGCAGUCUUUGCUAAUAAAUUUGAAUGCAAUAAUGCAGGAGACAAACAAACCUCUACAGAUAUUAUAAUGGUGUAGUGCUCAUUUAAAUGUAAGUGCUAAUACAGAUAUUUUGUUUCUGAGAUCCUACAGAAACCAGUGUGAAUUGGUGUCCUUGAGCUUACUGCACUUGGACAAACCUCAGCAUAGUUGAGACAAUGGCAAAAGAACAAAGUUAGCUAAAAACUAACUAAAAACCCAUCAGCUACUCUGCCCGAAGUGCCUGUGUGUACUCUGAGCCAAUCAUUAAUAAUAAACACUGAUGCCUUUACCUUUGGUGAUGUGCUACAAAUUCCCUUCUCAGAGUAACUUUCCAGCUGCCUACAUGCUGACGCCUAUCCCACUACUGAACAUCUGCACUAUGUGGAGAGAUGAGAAAAGUGGUUGAACUACCAGCACAUUUGAGCCACUGCUUUCCUACUGUAUCAUCAGUAGCACCAGGGUUUCAAUUGUAUCUCUACUCAAGUAACAGGUUCAAAGUAAAUAGCUCUAGAGCAAGUCGUUUCUGGACAACUGGCAGGUGAACUUAGAUUUCAAUUUUUCAUCAAGUUAGUUUACUAAACUAACACUGUAGACAAAAACAGAAUAACAUUCUGAAACUACUGCGAAGUAGCCACUUGUUUGUAUCAAUAGAACAACAGUAUCAAUGAACAUGUGCUUCAUUUUCUGUAAAGCAAUGAAAGGCUUUUUAUUUUUCCCCCAUUAUUCCCUCCAUUUAAUUCCAAAACUAAAUUAAUGGAUUAUAAUGUGAAGAGCAGAAUCUUUAUGUCUAAAUGUCACAAUUGUAAUGGAGAGCAUUACAGAGAAAUUGCUGGUAGGGCACAACUUGCUAACAACUUAGAUACUCAUUAGUCUACUGAAAAAUGCACUUGAACCUUUUCUAUUUAUUUUUUAAUCCCAACAUCAGAAGCACCAUGUAAUCUCUGCUGCUCCCUACAUGCAAUUGCCUUGUUAUUUUUUAAUUCUUGCAAAGUAUGAGCAAUAUUUUACUACUUACAAUAACAAAGACCUGAGGAACUGCUCAAUCAGUUAUUUGAUAGUCCUCAGAUUGAAGUCCUAAGGAUUAGUUCCCUGGAAUUCAGACCAGAAAUACGCAAUUCUGCACGUACCUAAACAGCUGACUAGCUUAUUCCAAAGCCAAACUGCAUGUGUCUGCCCAUGGAAAGGUGUUAUCCAUAUUGCAAAAUCUGUUGUAGAAUUAAUAAUAGGAGUGCGUUGCAGGGGCAAGUUAUUGAGUUAUUGCAUCAUAAUGAUAACCCCAUAGAGAGACAACAAAGGGAAAACAAAGCUGAAUAUUAUUUCAGACCCAAACAGUCACUUUCUAUUGCUCUUAAUGAAAUUAUGGACUCACUAUCAAUAGAUUGUUUUUUAUUACUUUCUCGUGGGAAGAGAACUACCUGAAAUUAGUAAAAAAAAUUAAGCAGUUCUAGACAAAUGGUGAAAUGAUUGCAUAUUAAAAUGAAUCAGAAAGUUUCAGUUCCUAUAUACAAUCAACAAUCAAAAAUUAUUUCUGCUUUUUUUUUUUUAAAGUCAGGAUCAGACAGCAACUGUUGACUGGAAUUCUUUGAAAAAGUAUUUUGAACAAAGUUAACAACUGGUAGUAUCACCCUAUGCAAAGCAAUAGUAAAUCUCACCCAGCAUCACAUCUUGAACUUAUCUGGCACAGAUUACCUCGCAAAGCAGGGUGUUUGGGGGUUAUUUUGUUUCUUUAUCUUUAUUAUGAAAACCUUUUCAGAGUAAUCUCCUAUCAAAUUAUCAAGAGAUAAAUGAGAUGAAUAAUUAGACCAGCAUGACAUGGACAAAGCCAUUCCCAAAAUAAGCUAGAUGAUCAAAGUGAAGCAGUUGGGCAAACUUACAGGAACCAGUUUCCAAUACCAUUUGGUAGGAGACUUCAGAGGAAGCAGUAGGGAAAAAAAUAAAAGCAGAAAGCAAAGAAAAAAAAGGAACAAUUUAUCAGAUUUCACCAUUUUUGCAAAGCGAUUUUCUUCAACAUUCUCAUUUUGUGUAACAGUAAAUUAUAAUUUAAUUGUAAACAUCAGAGCAGUAUAGUCACUGUGUAUUGAACUCAUUAGCACAAAUAAUACCACAGAAAUAUGCAUCUUCAGUCUUAAUAGAUUAACGUUACCAUUUUCCCACAUAAGCAGAUAAGACUGUCGUAUCAAUGCAGUUCUGUUAACUGCUUUCGCACACAUAAUUGCACCCUGAAUAUGCAAUCUGACUAAAGAAUUCAUUUGAGACUUGAAGUUAUGAUUUCACAAGUAUCAAAAUGAACUCCAGCAGCAUAUAUGGAGAAGCAGGGAAGCUAAAGCAAUGAAAAAAGGUAUAAACACACUGUAGUACAUUACAACCAAUUGCACUGAAGUCUGCAUUAGUCACCUCAAAGCCAAACAAGUUUAUAACGCUCAGAAUAUUUCUGAACAGUCAUAUAGCAGUUUUCAGAACAACAAGAGGUGCAAGCAGUUAUAUUUUUGCAAUGACAAAUCACAUAAGCAUCAGCUGCAUGAUGUGCAAUGACCUGAAACAUAGAAGUAGGUUCGAUUACUCACAGAGAAAUGAUCAGAACUGGUGUAUACAAUUCUAAACUGACACAUUAUCAAGAUCACAAAUUUUACCUAAAAACUUAAGGUGGAACAUACUGAAGUUGGUGGGUUUUUCUGUACUUAAACAGAUGAAGAGAAGCUGAGAUCUCUUGGAACAACACAACGGGAAUUCAAUGGCUCUUGAACUUGCACUUCGUAUGAACCAGAACAUUAUUAUGGAAACCACUAACAAUUUAUUGGUCACGUAAAAAAACCUGACAAGCAUAUUGUUCAACUGAAGCCUGAAAACCAAAGCUACUACAAAACUUCAAAUCCUAAUUCUGAAAGAUGCAGAGACUCUACCAGAAACAGAUGAGAUUACCACAAAGCACCGGCAGGUCAAGAUCCACAGGGGACUACCUGGAGCUAAAAAGCAUACAUACUCCUUCCUCUCUUAUCUUCUACAGGAAGCUAGCAGCAGAAGAAAGUGAAGGAAAACAAAAGCAAUCUCAUAAUCUGUUAAUACUAUUUGCAACUAUUCAGAAAUAGAUAAGUCUAUCUUACCAGUUGUAUUUAUUAAUAUGAUACUUCACUUUUCUAGCAAUACAGAGAUUUACUAUUUAUCAUGGAAAAGCUCACAACAGAUUUCCAACAAGAAUAGGCAUUAUGAUCAAUGUCUUUCUUACAUUUCUUUCUUACAUCAGUACCUAACUGAUACGUUUAAGAUUUUACCACACUAGAGAUUUGAAAAAAAUUAAAGGGUUCACUCAUUAACUUUGUUUCAAUUUCCCAGUAUUGAACUUCGGUGCUUCUUGGACAGAAAUUAAGAAAAGCUCAUCCUAAUAACCAGAACAACCUAUUCUUCAUGUGGUAGUUUGGCCACCUCUCUAAUUCAGCAGAUGAGACAUUCUUAAUUAAAUUUGGGUUGGGUUCAAAACGCAAUCACAGCUUAAAAAUGCUAAAAAAUUUCUGAAGGAGUUGGGCCAGAGCAGAAGGAAGACUGCAAAAUUAGUUAGAUUUUUAGGAUGGAAUAAUCACUGUCACAACUUCUUACCAUGUGGGUAAUAUGACAAACCUAAAUUAAAAAAAAAAACAGACUCAGGCUGAGAAUGCCAUGCUGCAGUAAACACGUAGAACUAUCAUUUAGUUUUUCCAGGAAACUGCUUAAAUGUGUAAUAAUCUUACUUUAGUUUACACAAAGGCAGUGAUCAAACCCAUCCAUUCCCUUUUCCACUUAGUAAAGUCUACUGAUGGUAAUAACUUAACCCAGCAGAGAUGGAAUGAAAAAAUAAGGGAAAACUGCACUAUUAAAUACUCAGACCAGAAAUUAUACACAUAUUUCAGCAAUAGCCAAACCCUGUACAAAAAUGUAGUCAGUUUUUUUCACAGCUUUGCUGAGGUAUGUGAGGGACAGGCAAUGCCGUAAAGUAACAGGACAUGCCACCCAUUUCAUACUACAACAUGAAGAAUGCAUGAGCCGAUGGAAUAUGGAGCCAAAUACUCAGAUGCUGUAGUCUGAAGAUAAAUCCUAGCAAAUGCUUGACAGGAGUCUCUUCAUAGUUUAGCUGAAAAUAUGAACAACUGAUUUAUAAAAGAUUUUCGCUGUCGUUCUCUGUGGAAAGUUUGCAUUCAGUACGAUUUGCAGUUCCGAAACACCAGAUUUAGACAUGUGUUUAAUAUGUUUUCUAAAUCUCAGAUAUUUAUAUGUGUGCAAGCAUCAUUAACUUGAGCAAAAACAUUUGCCAAGUACAGUUACAUUAAAAAAACAAAACAGUUAAUCAUCAGUUGAACGGACCCAUGUUUCUCAAAGAAAACCUACAAUAAUGAGUUGAAAACAUUACAAUCUUCCUGCAUUUAAAAAAAAGAUUUAAAUUCCUUAAAUACUUACAACUAGAAGUGACUGAAUGCUCCAGAUCCUAGACUUACUUUCUAAAAGCAGAUUGCACUUGCCAUUGCAGUCACUGGAAUCUUAUUGUACAAAUGGCAUUUGAAAAAAAACAAAGAAACAGAAAAACAUAACCUGCAAUAAACUCCUGCUAGCAGAAGAGACAUCCAGGGGUCAACUGGAGCCUGAGGUUUUACCCACAUUAAGUUUUCAAGCUAAUAGGUAAUGCUAUACUAAUAUAUAUUCAUAGCAUAGAGUACCUGACAAUGUAAUUUAUGCUGCUGAGUCGCACACCAAGGCAAAUAACCUAACAUGCACCUGGGACAACACUACCUAAAAUUCUAUAUAUUCAUAAAAUACAGAAAGAAACAAUUUUUUCCAUUAUAUGUCAACCAUGCAACAAUGGCUAUUUUGCAAGUGCAUUUGCAAUGUGGCCAACAGAAUAGGCUCUGACUGUGUAAGAGAUUCGUAAUUCAUACAGAAAACACCACAAACGCUCACACUAACUUUAGGCAAUUUUUUCAGUCCACUGGGUUUAUUUAUGGGAUAUGGUUAUGGACCACGCAGUAUACUUCAGCAGUCAAUUCAACAACAAUGAUGUAAAUACAAAUUUUAUCUUCACAUUUCUAGCAAAACACAAAUUGUAAUUUAAGUGAGAAUAAACAUUACUGAUGAUUUUUGUUUUACCAAUACUGAUAAUUUUAUGUAAUUGCUCUGAUACGUGUGGGCUUCUCUCCCCCCCCCAUCACUGCUAUUAACCAUAUUAAGAUUAUAAUGCACUUGGAUUUCAAAAAUUAU